This 131-nucleotide non-coding RNA is filed under the name Eucalyptus grandis. The record is from RNAcentral. Lineage: Eukaryota; Viridiplantae; Streptophyta; Magnoliopsida; Myrtales; Myrtaceae.
GUGUUCGUAGAAAGGAGAGAUGGUUGGCAUCUCCCCUGACAGGGACGGGAACAAGCCUUCGGGCUUUACCUGUUACCACACAUCCGGUUAAGGCUACCCACCUCUUGGUGGAUCUAUAACCCAAUUUUUUU